AGCGAACGCUGGCGGCAGGCCUAACACAUGCAAGUCGAACGAACCUUUCGGGGUUAGUGGCGGACGGGUGAGUAACACGUGGGAACGUGCCUUUAGGUUCGGAACAACUCAGGGAAACUUGUGCUAAUACCGAAUGUGCCCUUCGGGGGAAAGAUUUAUCGCCUUUAGAGCGGCCCGCGUCUGAUUAGCUAGUUGGUUGAGGUAAUGGCUCACCAAGGCGACGAUCAGUAGCUGGUCUGAGAGGAUGAUCAGCCACAUUGGGACUGAGACACGGCCCAAACUCCUACGGGAGGCAGCAGUGGGGAAUCUUGCGCAAUGGGCGAAAGCCUGACGCAGCCAUGCCGCGUGAAUGAUGAAGGUCUUAGGAUUGUAAAAUUCUUUCACCGGGGACGAUAAUGACGGUACCCGGAGAAGAAGCCCCGGCUAACUUCGUG
This 434-nucleotide ribosomal RNA is filed under the name uncultured bacterium. Its description in RNAcentral is "partial 16S ribosomal RNA". It matches the Rfam family "Bacterial small subunit ribosomal RNA", at positions 29 to 507 of the family's 1533-position model. The record is from RNAcentral.